GCCCCGGUAGUAUAGUCAGGUCUAGUAUCGCCGGCUGUCGCCCGGCGGACUCGGGUUCGAAUCCCGACCGGGGCG
This 75-nucleotide transfer RNA is filed under the name Candidatus Bathyarchaeota archaeon. Its description in RNAcentral is "tRNA-Asp". It matches the Rfam family "tRNA". From Rfam's summary of the family: Transfer RNA (tRNA) molecules are approximately 80 nucleotides in length. Their secondary structure includes four short double-helical elements and three loops (D, anti-codon, and T loops). Lineage: Archaea; Thermoproteati; Candidatus Bathyarchaeota. The record is from RNAcentral.